CCUACGGGAGGCAGCAGUAAGGAAUCUUCCACAAUGGACGAAAGUCUGAUGGAGCAACACCGCGUGCAGGAUGACGGCCUUCGGGUUGUAAACUGCUUUAUAUGGGAAGAUUAUGACGGUACCAUAUGAAUAAGGACCGGCUAACUACGUGCCAGCAGCCGCGGUAAUACGUAGGGUCCAAGCGUUAUCCGGAAUCACUGGGCGUAAAGCGUGCGUAGGUGGCGUGUUAAGUGUGAUGUUAAAUCGUGGGGCUCAACCCUGUCGGUGCAUCACAUACUGGCAUGCUAGAGGACGGCAGAGGCAAGUGGAAUUUGUAGUGUAGCAGUGAAAUGCGUAGAUAUUACAAGGAACACCAAUGGCGAAGGCAGCUUGCUGGGCCAAUCCUGACACUGAGGUACGAAAGCGUGGGGAGCGAACAGGAUUAGAUACCCUGGUAGUCCACGACCGUAACGAUAGCAUACUACGACGUAGUAGGGUAGUCGUACCCCGUCCGUGUCGUCGACGACGACGACGAGUAAGUAGUGCCGCCGCGGAGGUACGGCCGGCCGACGACGUUAAACGUUAACGUAAAGAAAGUUAGUAGCGNGNGAGAGCGACGACGACGACGAGGAGGAGGNG
This 618-nucleotide ribosomal RNA is filed under the name uncultured bacterium. RNAcentral describes it as "bacterial SSU rRNA". The stretch from base 1 to 529 matches the Rfam family "Bacterial small subunit ribosomal RNA", at positions 338 to 873 of the family's 1533-position model. The record is from RNAcentral.